AAGACUAUACUUUCAGGGAUGAUUUCUGUGGUUCAUUACUAAAGAAGUCUCUCUGAUCCUAUACAGCACCCAAAACUAUGAGAAAGAGCCAGAGCAUACAUAAAGCCAGUUCGAGGUGUGGCUUUCCCAACUGCCUUUUACCAAUUAUGAUCGCUUUUCUCUUCCUUUGGAAGUAGGUGAAGGAGAGAAUGCAGUUUGAAUAG
Molecule: small nucleolar RNA, 203 nt
Filed under: Sorex araneus (European shrew)
Lineage: Eukaryota; Metazoa; Chordata; Mammalia; Eulipotyphla; Soricidae
Description: Small nucleolar RNA U3 (ENSSARG00000017363.1)
Rfam family: Small nucleolar RNA U3
About the family: Small nucleolar RNAs (snoRNAs) are involved in the processing and modification of rRNA in the nucleolus. There are two main classes of snoRNAs: the box C/D class, and the box H/ACA class. U3 snoRNA is a member of the box C/D class.
Source: RNAcentral